Long non-coding RNA from Sinocyclocheilus anshuiensis, 420 nucleotides. RefSeq lists it as uncharacterized. The record is from RefSeq and is a predicted model, not a curated record. The transcript has 3 exons. NCBI's taxonomy places the organism in Eukaryota, Metazoa, Chordata, Actinopteri, Cypriniformes, Cyprinidae.
UUCAUUUAUCUCUCUUUUUCUGUGAUAGGCCAGGCACAAACUAGCGCAGCACCACGGACAGCAACAGUGACAUUAAACACGACUGCCUCACAGCCAGGAGUCGGAGCUGUCAGGUUGGUGAAUGGAUCCAACCUCUGUUCUGGAAGAGUGGAGGUUCUCCACAAUGGAAUCUGGGGAACAGUGUGUGAUGAUCUGUGGGAUUCAACAGACGCGGCAGUGGUGUGUAGAGAACUGGGCUGUGGGAAUGUCAUAGAGGCAAAGAGCUUUGCUUAUUUUGGACAAGGUUCUGGACAAAUAUGGUUGGAUGAUGUUCAGUGCCGUGGGAAUGAAUCUACACUGAAAAACUGUUCAUCAAGUGGAUGGGGAUCACAUAACUGUGGUCACCAAGAAGAUGCUGGAGUCAUCUGCCAAGGUGAGUCA